RNAcentral lists this unclassified non-coding RNA (265 nucleotides) under Hevea brasiliensis (rubber tree). The record is from RNAcentral. Lineage: Eukaryota; Viridiplantae; Streptophyta; Magnoliopsida; Malpighiales; Euphorbiaceae.
AAAAAAACAAAAACAAAUCAAAAAAGAAAAGAAACGGAUCCAAAAAACAUGCCCCGAUAAAAAUAACAACAAACCCUAACCCUAGCUUUCCUAUUUCGCACGAACGAGGGGACUCUCUUCUCUCAUCAACAACAUCUUUCUCUGUUUCUAUCCUCCAUAGGAAUUACAAAUCUCAGAGCGUUUAUCUGUAUUGUAUAGCUGUAGAUUUGUUUAAGGUUUUUCAGGUUGUCGGUGGUGAUGUAUGUUGCAAGGGUGGUUGUGGAAG